GAUGAAGAACGUAGCGAAAUGCGAUACUUGGUGUGAAUUGCAGAAUCCCGUGAACCAUUGAGUCUUUGAACGCAAGUUGCGCCCGAAGCCAUCAGGUUGAGGGCACGUCUGCCUGGGCGUCACAUAUCGUUGCCCAAUGCCUAUUGCAGUGCAAUAGGAAUUUCUAGGGCGAAUGAUGGCUUCCCGUGAGCGUUGUUGCCUCGCGGUUGGUUGAAAAUCGAGUCCUUGGUAGGGUGUGCCAUGGUAGAUGGUGGUCGAGUUAGAACGAUACCGAUCAUGUGCAUGCUCCCCAAAAUAUGGCCUCUAUGACCCACACGCGUCUUUUGACGCUCAUGACGAGACCUCAGGUCAGGCGGGGCUACCCGCUGAAUUUAAGCAUAUCAAUAAGCGGAGGA
Molecule: unclassified non-coding RNA, 395 nt
Filed under: soil metagenome
Description: partial contains 5.8S ribosomal RNA, internal transcribed spacer 2, and large subunit ribosomal RNA
Rfam family: 5.8S ribosomal RNA (bases 1-122)
Source: RNAcentral